Prunus avium (sweet cherry) is the source of this 2350-nucleotide non-coding RNA. The record is from RefSeq and is a predicted model, not a curated record. NCBI's taxonomy places the organism in Eukaryota, Viridiplantae, Streptophyta, Magnoliopsida, Rosales, Rosaceae.
UUACCUCUCUCUCUCUCUCUCUCUCUCUCUCUCUCUCUCUCUCUGUUUUAAGUUUUUCAUCACUCUUUGCGAUUUCUCAUGGUGUCCCAAUAAAACCCUAAUCUUUACUCUUACUCUCUCUCCGCAGAGAACAAAAAGGACUGAAAUUUGAACGAGAAAUUGGGAACUAAGGAUAGGAAUAUAUAUCCUUCAAUCAAUCAAGGUCGGAUAAGAACGAGAUGCAGUAUCGGAAAACAGGGCGAUCCGCAAGCUCUAAUCAGCAGCACAGGGGAUACUCACCCGUGUACGCUAAGGGCACCGCCGCCGGCGCCGGUGGGCCCGCCCCUUCCAUCUCCUCCAAUCGCAGGUGCUUAUAGGUGUAUUAUAUAGAGUUAUAUAUAGAUGUGUAGGGUUUGUUUGUUUCUGAUCAGUUUCAGUUUACUUUUAAUAAUCUUUGCAAUUGAAUUGCUUUGGACUGUGAUUCUUAAUUUGGGGUUUUUUUUCUUCUGUGUUUUAUUAAUAAUGAGGUUGUAGGAAAUUAGGGUUUGCUGAUUUUUAUUUUAAAUAUCCAGUUUUAAGAAGAAUAAUAACAAUGCACAAGGAGCGCAGUCCAGGGGAAGUGUAACCACUGUAAGAGAAAAAGAAAAAGAUGCGAUUGUGGGCGGGGACUAAAAAUAAAAGCGGGAUCUGAUUUUUCACAAGUGAAACCCCAAUUUUUCAAAAGCUCCCUCUCUUUCUCACUCGCACUCACACUCUCGCUCUCUCUCUCUCUCUCUCUUCUCUCGUUCCUUCUCACUCUCACAAUUUCUCUCUUCUCUUUCACUCUUUCUUUCUCACUCUUGCUUUGCCUCUCUUUCUCUAUCGCUGUGGCUAGCUCGUGCUCUCUUAGUGGCUCGCUCACCCCUCGCUCAGUCUCUCUUCCUCCAUUGUAAGCCCUAAUUAUGUUUUUUGUAAUAUCUAUUUUCGAAUUAUAUAGAAAUUGGGGAAGUUUCUGAAAUAAGAAUUUCUAGGUCUUUUUCUAGGAGUAUGAUUUGUUUUUUAGGUUUAAUUUUUUAAUUUUUAUGGAUUUUAAGUUGAAGAGUGUGGUAAUGGUGAUGCUUGUUAUUCUUUUCUCGGUCAUCCAGUUUUAGAUGGAGCCAUUUACACUUAUCUAGCCUUUGCUCUAUCUUUUACUUAUCUGAAUUUGUAUACAUCCAGUUCUUUGCAUAAUUUCUACUUUUUGAGGACUCUUAUACCAAAUUGGAAGAGCACUUGAAAUGUUUGGUCUGCUUUCAUUCACUGACAUGAAUUCGAGGUCUAUGGGUGUUCAAUUUUUUUUAUGUAUCCAAGGUUCUAUUGCUUGCAAAAGGGACUGUUGUUCAAAUCAUUUAUAAAACUAACUUUUCAUUUUGAUGCAUGUCUCUUCUUGUUUCUCAGCGUUUUGGACAGAGUUGGGGUUAGAUUCUUCUUUUCAUGCUGGGUACUAUUGUUGUUGAUAUAUUUUUCAUGAAAUUCAGUUCUGUUAUUUGUUUUUUAUUUUCCAAGGUCUUGCUGGGAAGGCAACAAAUCAAUAUUAUGAAAAUGAUUUGAGAUUUUAGAUUAUGCAAAUGUUGUAGCUGACAUUCAUGCAGAUGCUAAUCUAGGUAUCACUCAAGGUAAUGCUUUAAUAUUUUAUAUGCCUUAAGACAGGAAAAUCUUGAAGAGUGAGUAUAUGAGAUGGCGAAAUUGAAUAAUCCCUUUCUUUUCACUUCAGCAGUAUCUAAUUGCUUCCAAAUCACCAACAAGCUAAAGUGUAAAAACUCUGUUCAGUUUCAAUGACGAUUGUGUUGUUGAGGCUUGAGAGUUAUAUUGUUUCUAAGCAGAUUAAAUGAUAUUAUGUGUUGGUUUUGGGAUUUCUCAAUAGGGUCGUUUCUUGUAACUUGGCAUUCUCUUCUACUGAGAAACAUUCAUGCAUUUGCAUAAAUGAAUGCUUUUAUGUAGAGGUUAUUGUUGUUAUAAUACUCUCUGUGCCAAUAUUUAAGUUGGCUUUUAAUUUUCCAGUUCGUGUGCUUGUACCCAACUUUUGCAUGAAGAAGAAAGCUCAGGGAAUUGGAUUUAUGCUUUUUGUGCUAAUUGUGUUGAUAAUUUGUCCUGCUGAUUGAUGUGUACAUGGAGGCUUAAACUACAAAGACAAGUGCUACGGAAAGUCAAGCUUCUAAGUUAGAAGUUCUACGUUUUAUUAUACUAGACAGUUUGGUUUAUUUCAGCAUGUAUUGUUUUCAAUGUAAUUUUUUUUUAUGUUUUUGUAAUAUCAUUUCUCAAGAUAGUUAACACGUUAUUACGAGUUUUUGAAUGUUUGUACCUCAAUAUUCUAUUUUAGUGGAUAUUAAAUUUCAGAUUGUUAUUUUUUUAA